UUUUUAGUAUAAGUCUGUCCCAUGCAACAUUUGGGAUAUACUUUUACUAAAA
Molecule: microRNA precursor, 52 nt
Filed under: Heterocephalus glaber (naked mole-rat)
Lineage: Eukaryota; Metazoa; Chordata; Mammalia; Rodentia; Bathyergidae
Description: mir-1302 microRNA precursor family
Rfam family: mir-1302 microRNA precursor family
Source: Rfam by way of RNAcentral